This is a long non-coding RNA of Populus euphratica (Euphrates poplar), 868 nucleotides long. RefSeq lists it as uncharacterized. Lineage: Eukaryota; Viridiplantae; Streptophyta; Magnoliopsida; Malpighiales; Salicaceae. The record is from RefSeq and is a predicted model, not a curated record. The transcript is spliced from 2 exons.
AUAUCCAAUAUAUCCUGGUAAACGUCCAGCAAAGCGUUCGAUGAGCUGAGAUUACAAAGCUAUGAAACAUUAAAUUCUGUUAUUAAUUAGAAAAUACAUUGUUCAGAUACACACGCUAUGGCACAAAAUGUCUCUCGCUGGACAUGGAAAGGCUCCCAUUAAAUGAUUAUCCUCACUUAGAUACCAAAAACCAACAAUGCAGCCUUGAAGGUAAUGACCCCAAAAACCAAGAAAGUAUAGAAGUAGGUGGUAUCUCCAAUGAAUUCCAAAAAUGCAUUAAGAUACCACGGCAUAAAAAGAAGUGAUGUGCAUAUAUUACUAGUUUACUAUAGUAGUGAUAGGUUUAAAUUCCUGUAAGAAAAUCACGAACCAGAGAGACUAAACGAAACAGAAUCUCAUCAAAGUAGAUGCCCCAGCUAUAUACGUAGAGCAUGUAUUCCAACAAAUGUGCAAAAUACAAAUCCAAUAUGCAAAUAAAAAAUGCAUAAUCAUCAAAAUAAAGAAAGAAUGAAGCACAACUUUGACAGACUUGGAUGAAGAACUUCAAAAUUAACAAAUAUCACCUAGCAAACCAUUCCCACUUUGUUAAAAGCGUUUCUCCUGGCCAAACAAAAUACAUGACUAGGACAACAACAGAGCCAGACAACAGUGAUUUUCAAUACCAUUACGGCAAUACAAUUACCAAUUUCUAACCUAAAUCAAUAUCAUCUAUCAUAUAUCAUAAACCAUCUAAGGAAAACCAAACAAGAAAAGAAUACAUCUAACCUCAAUUGACAUAUAUAUAUAUAUAUAUUCACCAGUCUCAAUAGCUACAAGCUACGACUAUGAUUUCAACAAUCAAAUAAAAAUUUAAAAUUCAAUGCGUAAG